CGGGGGGGGUGCUUUACCAUGCAAGUCGAACGGUGAUCUCGGUGCUUGCACCGGGUGAUCAGUGGCGAACGGGUGAGUAACACGUGAGCAACCUGCCCCUGACUCUGGGAUAACUUCGGGAAAUCGGAGCUAAUACCGGAUACGAGACGCACGGGCAUCCGUAGCGUCUGGAAAGAAUUUUGGUCAGGGAUGGGCUCGCGGCCUAUCAGCUUGUUGGUGGGGUAACGGCCCACCAAGGCGACGACGGGUAGCCGGCCUGAGAGGGCGACCGGCCACACUGGGACUGAGACACGGCCCAGACUCCUACGGGAGGCAGCAGUGGGGAAUAUUGCACAAUGGGCGAAAGCCUGAUGCAGCGACGCCGCGUGGGGGAUGAAGGCCUUCGGGUUGUAAACCCCUUUCAGCAGGGAAGAAGCGAAAGUGACGGUACCUGCAGAAGAAGCGCCGGCUAACUACGUGCCAGCAGCCGCGGUAAUACGUAGGGCGCAAGCGUUGUCCGGAAUUAUUGGGCGUAAAGAGCUCGUAGGCGGUUUGUCGCGUCUGCUGUGAAAACCCGAGGCUCAACCUCGGGCCUGCAGUGGGUACGGGCAGACUAGAGUGCGGUAGGGGAGACUGGAAUUCCUGGUGUAGCGGUGGAAUGCGCAGAUAUCAGGAGGAACACCGAUGGCGAAGGCAGGUCUCUGGGCCGCAACUGACGCUGAGGAGCGAAAGCAUGGGGAGCGAACAGGAUUAGAUACCCUGGUAGUCCAUGCCGUAAACGUUGGGCACUAGGUGUGGGGCUCAUUCCACGAGUUCCGUGCCGCAGCAAACGCAUUAAGUGCCCCGCCUGGGGAGUACGGCCGCAAGGCUAAAACUCAAAGGAAUUGACGGGGGCCCGCACAAGCGGCGGAGCAUGCGGAUUAAUUCGAUGCAACGCGAAGAACCUUACCAAGGCUUGACAUACACCGGAAACAUCCAGAGAUGGGUGCCCCGCAAGGUCGGUGUACAGGUGGUGCAUGGUUGUCGUCAGCUCGUGUCGUGAGAUGUUGGGUUAAGUCCCGCAACGAGCGCAACCCUCGUCCUAUGUUGCCAGCACAUCAUGGUGGGGACUCAUAGGAGACUGCCGGGGUCAACUCGGAGGAAGGUGGGGAUGACGUCAAAUCAUCAUGCCCCUUAUGUCUUGGGCUUCACGCAUGCUACAAUGGGCCGGU
RNAcentral lists this ribosomal RNA (1190 nucleotides) under Cellulomonas sp. RNAcentral describes it as "bacterial SSU rRNA". It matches the Rfam family "Bacterial small subunit ribosomal RNA", at positions 36 to 1239 of the family's 1533-position model. The record is from RNAcentral. Lineage: Bacteria; Bacillati; Actinomycetota; Actinomycetes; Micrococcales; Cellulomonadaceae.